RNAcentral lists this ribosomal RNA (462 nucleotides) under uncultured bacterium. RNAcentral's name for it is "partial 16S ribosomal RNA". It matches the Rfam family "Bacterial small subunit ribosomal RNA", at positions 338 to 796 of the family's 1533-position model. The record is from RNAcentral.
CCUACGGGCGGCAGCAGUGAGGAAUAUUGGUCAAUGGGCGCGAGCCUGAACCAGCCAAGUCGCGUGAGGGAGGACGGCCCUACGGGUUGUAAACCUCUUUUGCCGGGGAGCAACGGGCGUCACGUGUGGCGCCACUGAGAGUACCCGGAGAAAAAGCAUCGGCUAACUCCGUGCCAGCAGCCGCGGUAAUACGGAGGAUGCGAGCGUUAUCCGGAAUGACUGGGCGUAAAGGGUGCGUAGGUGGUUUGGGAAGUUAGUAGCGUAAUUCCGGGGCUCAACUUCGGAACUACUACUAAAACUGGUGGGCUUGAGUGCAGGAGGGGCAUAUGGAAUUCCUAGUGUAGCGGUGGAAUGCGUAGAUAUUAGGAGGAACACCAGUGGCGAAGGCGAUAUGCUGGACUGUAACUGACACUGAGGCACGAAAGCGUGGGGAGCAAACAGGAUUAGAUACCCGUGUAGUCC